GAUGAACGCUGGCGGCGUGCCUAAUACAUGCAAGUCGAGCGAACAGACGAGGAGCUUGCUCCUCUGACGUUAGCGGCGGACGGGUGAGUAACACGUGGAUAACCUACCUAUAAGACUGGGAUAACUUCGGGAAACCGGAGCUAAUACCGGAUAAUAUAUUGAACUGCAUGGUUCAAUAGUGAAAGACGGUUUUGCUGUCACUUAUAGAUGGAUCCGCGCCGCAUUAGCUAGUUGGUAAGGUAACGGCUUACCAAGGCAACGAUGCGUAGCCGACCUGAGAGGGUGAUCGGCCACCCUGGAACUGAGACACGGUCCAGACUCCUACGGGAGGCAGCAGUAGGGAAUCUUACGCAAUGGGCGAAAGCCUGACGGAGCAACGCCGCGUGAGUGAUGAAGGUCUUCGGAUCGUAAAACUCUGUUAUUAGGGAAGAACAAAUGUGUAAUUAACUAUGCACGUCUUGACGGUACCUAAUCAGAAAGCCACGGCUAACUACGUG
Molecule: ribosomal RNA, 497 nt
Filed under: uncultured bacterium
Lineage: Bacteria
Description: partial 16S ribosomal RNA
Rfam family: Bacterial small subunit ribosomal RNA
Source: RNAcentral